This 459-nucleotide ribosomal RNA is filed under the name uncultured bacterium. RNAcentral describes it as "partial 16S ribosomal RNA". It matches the Rfam family "Bacterial small subunit ribosomal RNA", at positions 339 to 795 of the family's 1533-position model. The record is from RNAcentral.
CUACGGGCGGCUCCAGUGAGGAAUAUUGGUCAAUGGGCGCAAGCCUGAACCAGCCACUCCGCGUGUAGGAUGACUGCCCUAUGGGUUGUAAACUACUUUUAUACAGGAAGAAACCUCCUUACGUGUAGGGAGCUGACUGUACUGUAAGAAUAAGCAUCGGCUAACUCCGUGCCAGCAGCCGCGGUAAUACGGAGGAUGCAAGCGUUAUCCGGAUUUAUUAGGUCUAAAGGGUUCGUAGGCGGAUGAUUAAGUCAGUGGUGAAAUCCUACAGCUUAACUGUAGAACUGCCAUUGAUACUGGUUGUCUUGAGUAUAGUUGAGGUAGGUGGAAUGUGUAGUGUAGCGGUGAAAUGCUUAGAUAUUACACAGAACACCGAUUGCGAAGGCAGCUUACUAAGCUAUUACUGACGCUAAGGAACGAAAGCGUGGGGAGCGAACAGGAUUAGAUACCCUCGUAGUC